CAAUAAGAAAAUCAAAAAUCUCAAAAGCUCUCUUCUCUUCCUAAUUCUCUCAAACCUCCAUUGGAGGAAAGCUCAACCUCAAGCUAGAAGAUGAAUCUUUGAACGAUUUCUUCUCCAAUUUCAUGGGUAUUCAAUCAAUAAGGUUUAGUGAUCCUUCAUCAUUAGUUAUUCAUUUAUCUAAGGAGUUUCUCCAAAGGUUUUCAAAGAAGAUUUCAUGAUGAAAAUUGCAAUUUUUCAAUCUAGCCACUGGUUCUUAUUCAAAUUGAUUUCAAAAGUCCAUCAAUGUUUUAUUAUUUUCUUGGUUGCUAUCUGCUAGAACUUGGAAUCUAUUGCAAUGGAGGUUGCAAGUUGCAACAAUGUUUUGUUGGUUUUCUAAAUCUCUUUUGUUGCUGGAAGUUGUAAUGAGCCAGAUAAUGAUUACACUUUCAAUGAUUUUAAUUACUUAAAAUGAUUUCUAAGAACCUAUAAACCAUCAAAGAACAC
RNAcentral lists this long non-coding RNA (483 nucleotides) under Solanum lycopersicum (tomato). RNAcentral describes it as "partial TCONS_00090053". Lineage: Eukaryota; Viridiplantae; Streptophyta; Magnoliopsida; Solanales; Solanaceae. The record is from RNAcentral.